Non-coding RNA from Gasterosteus aculeatus aculeatus (three-spined stickleback), 240 nucleotides. Lineage: Eukaryota; Metazoa; Chordata; Actinopteri; Perciformes; Gasterosteidae. The record is from RefSeq and is a predicted model, not a curated record.
GGAGCUCCUCAGCUUUGAGAAGUAUGUAAAUGAACUGAAGCAGUUUAGAGACAACAACGGCGGCUCUCCAGAGUACACCAUCAACAUGUGCUUCGGAGAGAAGUUCCCCGAUGGAAAACCUUUGGAGAAGAAGCUCAUCGUAGUCAAGGUGGUCCCUCUGAAUCUGUCGACACUACCAUGAGAUCGCCCAGAUGGAAGGAGCCUCGUCUCUUCACAGCUCCAACGUCAGCCUACAGAUUU